CCUACGGGAGGCAGCAGUGAGGAAUAUUGGUCAAUGGGCGAGAUCCUGAACCAGCCAAGCCGCGUGAGGGAAGACGGCCCUAUGGGUUGUAAACCUCUUUUGUCGGAGAACAAAACCCGCGACGUGUCCCGGACUGCGUGUAUCCGAAGAAAAAGCAUCGGCAAACCCCGUGCCAGCAGCCGCGGUAAUUCGGAGGAUGCGAGCGUUAGCCGGGUUUAUUGGGUUUAAAGGGUGCGUAGGGGGGCGGCUAAGUCAGCGGUAAAAUUGCGGGGCUCAACCCCGGCCAGCCGUUGAAACUGGCGGACUUGAGUUGGCGAGAAGUAGGCGGAAUGCGCGGUGUAGCGGUGAAAUGCAUAGAUAUCACGCAGAACUCCGAUUGCGAAGGCAGCGUACCGGCGCCAGACUGACGCUGAGGCACGAAAGCGUGGGGAUCGAACAGGAUUAGAUACCCUUGUAGUC
This 459-nucleotide ribosomal RNA is filed under the name uncultured bacterium. RNAcentral describes it as "partial 16S ribosomal RNA". It matches the Rfam family "Bacterial small subunit ribosomal RNA", at positions 338 to 795 of the family's 1533-position model. The record is from RNAcentral.